AUGAAGGCUGGCGGCGUGCCUAAUACAUGCCAGUCGCGCGAACAGACGAGGAGCUUGCUCCUCUGACGUUAGCGGCGGACGGGUGAGUAACACGUGGAUAACCUACCUAUAAGACUGGGAUAACUUCGGGAAACCGGAGCUAAUACCGGAUAAUAUAUUGAACCGCAUGGUUCAAUAGUGAAAGACGGUUUUGCUGUCACUUAUAGAUGGAUCCGCGCCGCAUUAGCUAGUUGGUAAGGUAACGGCUUACCAAGGCAACGAUGCGUAGCCGACCUGAGAGGGUGAUCGGCCACACUGGAACUGAGACACGGUCCAGACUCCUACGGGAGGCAGCAGUAGGGAAUCUUCCGCAAUGGGCGAAAGCCUGAUGGAGCAACGCCGCGUGAGUGAUGAAGGUCUUCGGAUCGUAAAACUCUGUUAUUAGGGAAGAACAAAUGUGUAAGUAACUAUGCACGUCUUGACGGUACCUAAUCAGAAAGCCACGGCUAACUACGUG
RNAcentral lists this ribosomal RNA (496 nucleotides) under uncultured bacterium. RNAcentral's name for it is "partial 16S ribosomal RNA". It matches the Rfam family "Bacterial small subunit ribosomal RNA", at positions 29 to 507 of the family's 1533-position model. The record is from RNAcentral.